This 699-nucleotide long non-coding RNA is filed under the name Polistes fuscatus (common paper wasp). RNAcentral describes it as "uncharacterized LOC122519566". The record is from RNAcentral. Lineage: Eukaryota; Metazoa; Arthropoda; Insecta; Hymenoptera; Vespidae.
UUUUCCUACCCUUUCUGUCUUUCGUUCCAUUCGUAUUUUCUUCUCUUCUAUCUAUGCGUGUAAUUCUCUUUCUUUUUCUCUCAUCGCAUUCACGCUUGUAAUAGUUGGUAUGUUAAAAUAGGAAAGAAAGAAAGAAAGAAAGAAAGAAAGAAAGAAAGACAGACAGGAAGAUUGAGAGAGAGAAAAAAAGUGAGAGAAAAGACAGUGACGGAUAAAAUUGGCCCCUAUCAAGGGUUACUUCACUUCUCUUUCUGGAGGAUGGAAAAUUCAGUGAUUUUCCGUCGAAUGCUACGACACUGUGCUACUACAGCGUCGGUGGUAGAGAGAGAGAGGAGAGAAUCGUUCCGUUAGUCGGGUCUCGGCCGUCGUCAACGUCAAUACGACGGUGUACGAGUUGCUUAUCGUCGUCGUCGUCGUUGUCGUCGUCGUCGUCAUCAUCGUCAUCGCCGUCAUUGUUGUUGUUGUUGUUGUUGUUGUUGUUGUUGUUGUUGUUGUUGUUGUUCUCGUAAAUGUCAUCGUUCACGUCGACGUCGUCGUCGGUGGUUGGAAAGUGAAAGGAGAGAAAUAGUUUUCCCGCGUGGAAGAAAGAAAAAAACAAAAAUAACAACAGCUACAAAAGCUACAACAGCAACAACAACAACAACAACAACAACAAGGCGAUAUGUGUUGUAGUGAUGACGCACGAUGACUCUGAUAAAA